This 492-nucleotide ribosomal RNA is filed under the name uncultured bacterium. Its description in RNAcentral is "partial 16S ribosomal RNA". It matches the Rfam family "Bacterial small subunit ribosomal RNA", at positions 29 to 507 of the family's 1533-position model. The record is from RNAcentral.
AGUGAACGCUGGCGGUAGGCCUAACACAUGCAAGUCGAACGGCAGCACAGUAAGAGCUUGCUCUUACGGGUGGCGAGUGGCGGACGGGUGAGGAGUACAUCGGAAUCUACUUUUUUGUGGGGGAUAACGUAGGGAAACUUACGCUAAUACCGCAUACGACCUACGGGUGAAAGCAGGGGAUCUUCGGACCUUGCGCGAUUGAAUGAGCCGAUGUCGGAUUAGCUAGUUGGCGGGGUAAAGGCCCACCAAGGCGACGAUCCGUAGCUGGUCUGAGAGGAUGAUCAGCCACACUGGAACUGAGACACGGUCCAGACUCCUACGGGAGGCAGCAGUGGGGAAUAUUGGACAAUGGGCGCAAGCCUGAUCCAGCCAUACCGCGUGGGUGAAGAAGGCCUUCGGGUUGUAAAGCCCUUUUGUUGGGAAAGAAAAGCAGCAGGUUAAUACCCCGCUGUUCUGACGGUACCCAAAGAAUAAGCACCGGCUAACUUCGUG